CGGGGUGCACCAGGCGCGAAAACUUUACAAUGCGGGAAACCGUGAUAAGGGGACACCGAGUGCCAGCAUUAUAUGCUGGCUGUCCAGGUGUGUAAACUACACCUGUUAGCAAGGGCCGGGCAAGACCGGUGCCAGCCGCCGCGGUAACACCGGCGGCCCGAGUGGUGAUCGUGAUUAUUGGGUCUAAAGGGUCCGUAGCCGGUUUGGUCAGUCCUCCGGGAAAUCUGACGGCUCAACCGUUAGGCUUUCGGGGGAUACUGCCAGGCUUGGAACCGGGAGAGGUAAGAGGUACUACAGGGGUAGGAGUGAAAUCUUGUAAUCCCUGUGGGACCACCUGUGGCGAAGGCGUCUUACCAGAACGGGUUCGACGGUGAGGGACGAAAGCUGGGGGCACGAACCGGAUUAGAUACCCGGGCAGUCCCAGCCGUAAACGAUGCUCGCUAGGUGUCAGGCAUGGCGCGACCGUGUCUGGUGCCGCAGGGAAGCCGUGAAGCGAGCCACCUGGGAAGUACGGCCGCAAGGCUGAAACUUAAAGGAAUUGGC
Molecule: ribosomal RNA, 543 nt
Filed under: uncultured archaeon
Lineage: Archaea
Description: bacterial SSU rRNA
Rfam family: Archaeal small subunit ribosomal RNA
Source: RNAcentral